AGUGACUGCGGAGAUCAUUACCGAGUGCGGGCUCGCCUUCUUGCGCGGCCCAACCUCCCACCCGUGACUAUUCGUACCUCACGUUGCUUCGGCGCGGCCGCCGUGCCCGCCGGAGACCCCCUCCUGAACGCUGUUCUAGAAAGGGAAUUGCAGUCUGAGUCGAUUGAUGCAAAUCGGUUAAAACUUUCAACAACGGAUCUCUUGGUUCCGGCAUCGAUGAAGAACGCAGCGAAAUGCGAUACGUAAUGUGAAUUGCAGAAUUCAGUGAAUCAUCGAAUCUUUGAACGCACAUUGCGCCCCCUGGUAUUCCGGGGGGCAUGCCUGUCCGAGCGUCAUUACUGCCCUCAAGCGCGGCUUGUGUGUUGGACCGUCGUCCCGCCCGUAUAAGGUGCGGGACGGGCCCGAAAGGCAGUGGCGGCACCGGCUAUCCGGUCCUCGAGCGCAUGGGGCUUUGUCACCCGCUCCGUAGGCCGGGCUGGAGCCCGCCGGCUUCUAUUCAA
RNAcentral lists this unclassified non-coding RNA (500 nucleotides) under Xerochrysium xerophilum. RNAcentral describes it as "sequence contains 18S rRNA gene, ITS1, 5.8S rRNA gene, ITS2". The stretch from base 182 to 335 matches the Rfam family "5.8S ribosomal RNA". RNAcentral also lists the same sequence under 1 other name. The record is from RNAcentral. Lineage: Eukaryota; Fungi; Ascomycota; Eurotiomycetes; Eurotiales; Trichocomaceae.